GAUGAACGCUGGCGGCGUGCCUAAUACAUGCAAGUCGAGCGAACAGACGAGGAGCUUGCUCCUCUGACGUUAGCGGCGGACGGGUGAGUAACACGUGGAUAACCUACCUAUAAGACUGGGAUAACUUCGGGAAACCGGAGCUAAUACCGGAUAAUAUAUUGAACCGCAUGGUUCAAUAGUGAAAUACGGUUUUGCUGUCACUUAUAGAUGGAUCCGCGCCGCAUUAGCUAGUUGGUAAGGUAACGGCUUACCAAGGCAACGAUGCGUAGCCGACCUGAGAGGGUGAUCGGCCACACUGGAACUGAGACCCGGUCCAGACUCCUACGGGAGGCAGCAGUAGGGAAUCUUCCGCAAUGGGCGAAAGCCUGACGGAGCAACGCCGCGUGAGUGAUGAAGGUCUUCGGAUCGUAAAACUCUGUUAUUAGGGAAGAACAAAUGUGUAAGUAACUAUGCACGUCUUGACGGUACCUAAUCAGAAAGCCACGGCUAACUACGUG
RNAcentral lists this ribosomal RNA (497 nucleotides) under uncultured bacterium. RNAcentral describes it as "partial 16S ribosomal RNA". It matches the Rfam family "Bacterial small subunit ribosomal RNA", at positions 28 to 507 of the family's 1533-position model. The record is from RNAcentral.